AAACAGACAGGUAGCCAAUGGGGUGGACCGGGAUGGUCCGGUACUUUCCAAGCUUGGUUCAAGCUCCACAGCAGAGCUCCACCCAAAGACUGGUGCUAAUGGNNNNNGUGAAUCCAAGCCCACUGCCAUGCCACCUGCUAGUGUUAUGACAAGACUCAUUCUCAUUAUGGUUUGGAGAAAACUUAUAAGGAAUCCCAAUACUUAUUCCAGCC
RNAcentral lists this unclassified non-coding RNA (212 nucleotides) under Hevea brasiliensis (rubber tree). The record is from RNAcentral. Lineage: Eukaryota; Viridiplantae; Streptophyta; Magnoliopsida; Malpighiales; Euphorbiaceae.